UCAGUAUCCUAUAUUCUGAUAGUAGGAUUAUUGAUAGAGAAACUUUAAGGAGUUAUCAUAUAACUAUUUUGACCAGUAACUAUUUGCUGAUUUCUCUUUUAAGCCUGUUUGGAUUAGCUUGAGACUUCUUGAUCAAUUAGCUCUAAAACUAUACUCAACUUCUGAUACUGGCUAUCGAAGUUAGGUCUGAUAACACUUUCACAAUCUAAUAG
Molecule: long non-coding RNA, 212 nt
Filed under: Elaeis guineensis (African oil palm)
Lineage: Eukaryota; Viridiplantae; Streptophyta; Magnoliopsida; Arecales; Arecaceae
Description: long non-coding RNA (EGUI_LNC075822)
Source: RNAcentral